CCUACGGGGGGCAGCAGUGAGGAAUAUUGGUCAAUGGGCGAGAGUCUGAACCAGCCAAGUAGCGUGAAGGAUGACUGCCCUAUGGGUUGUAAACUUCUUUUAUAAAGGAAUAAAGCGAGGCACGUGUGCCUUUUUGCAUGUACUUUAUGAAUAAGGAUCGGCUAACUCCGUGCCAGCAGCCGCGGUAAUACGGAGGAUCCGAGCGUUAUCCGGAUUUAUUGGGUUUAAAGGGAGCGUAGAUGGGUUGUUAAGUCAGUUGUGAAAGUUUGCGGCUCAACCGUAAAAUUGCAAUUGAUACUGGCAGUCUUGAGUACAGUUGAGGUAGGCGGAAUUCGUGGUGUAGCGGUGAAAUGCUUAGAUAUCACGAAGAACCCCGAUUGCGAAGGCAGCUCACUAAACUGUGACUGACACUGAUGCUCGAAAGUGUGGGUAUCAAACAGGAUUAGAUACCCCAGUAGUC
RNAcentral lists this ribosomal RNA (460 nucleotides) under uncultured bacterium. RNAcentral's name for it is "partial 16S ribosomal RNA". It matches the Rfam family "Bacterial small subunit ribosomal RNA", at positions 338 to 795 of the family's 1533-position model. The record is from RNAcentral.